Molecule: transfer RNA, 75 nt
Filed under: Candidatus Sodalis pierantonii str. SOPE
Lineage: Bacteria; Pseudomonadati; Pseudomonadota; Gammaproteobacteria; Enterobacterales; Bruguierivoracaceae
Description: primary endosymbiont of Sitophilus oryzae tRNA
Rfam family: tRNA
About the family: Transfer RNA (tRNA) molecules are approximately 80 nucleotides in length.
Source: Rfam by way of RNAcentral
GGGUCGGUAGCUCAGUGUGGAAGAGCGUACGAGUUGUUAAACCGUAAGCUGCAGGUUCGAGUCCUGAUCAACCCG